This 440-nucleotide ribosomal RNA is filed under the name uncultured bacterium. RNAcentral's name for it is "partial 16S ribosomal RNA". It matches the Rfam family "Bacterial small subunit ribosomal RNA", at positions 338 to 795 of the family's 1533-position model. The record is from RNAcentral.
CCUACGGGUGGCAGCAGUGGGGAAUAUUGCACAAUGGGGGAAACCCUGAUGCAGCGACGCCGCGUGAGCGAAGAAGUCUUUCGGGAUGUAAAGCUCUAUCAGCAGGGAAGAAAAUGACGGUACCUGAGUAAGAAUCUCCGGCUAACUACGUGCCAGCAGCCGCGGUAAUACGUAUGGAGCAAGCGUUAUCCGGAUUUACUGGGCGUAAAGGGAGCGUAGGCGGCCUGCCAAGUCUGAUGUGAAAUACCGGGGCGCAACCCCGGGGCUGCAUUGGAAACUGGCAGGCUGGAGUGCAGGAGAGGCAGGCGGAAUUCCUAGUGUAGCGGUGAAAUGAGUAGAUAUUAGGAGGAACACCAGUGGCGAAGGCGGCCUGCUGGACGGGGACUGACGCUGAGGCUCGAAAGCGUGGGGAGCAAACAGGAUUAGAUACCCCAGUAGUC